GUUUGAGAUAUGAUAGCAAUAUAACUGCUGAUAAAUUGUUGAUUUCGGAAUAAAAAUUGUUUGAAAACCAAAGUGUAAAUAAUUUCAAGUCUUUGGUCUAAUUUCCAAUUGUUUAAGACUAUUACAACUAUGAGUAAUCUCAUGUUUUACUUUUCAAGAAAAUGUUACCCAUAAUGCUUCAGUUUCUGGUAAGGCAAAUCAUCUAUCCCAGAGGUAAAAUUCUAAUCAGGCAAUUCGUUGAUACUUGUGUCAUUCCAAUGAUAUGUAUACAUUGUGACUUUUCCUAAGUCUGUAAAUUAUUUAAUUAAACUAAUUUUUAGGUUAAAACUCCCGUAAACUCGACUUUAUAUGAUUUUGGCUAUUUUGUAUAAGUACUUUUGUUUGUAAUCCUCUAAAUAGUUUUUUUUUUUGCAUUAUCUUUCUGAAAUCUUGGUUACAAUAUCAUACCUAAUGAAAUUACUUCUAGAAACAUGUGUCAUGCUUAUAGAAUUAGAU
Molecule: long non-coding RNA, 495 nt
Filed under: Mytilus galloprovincialis (Mediterranean mussel)
Lineage: Eukaryota; Metazoa; Mollusca; Bivalvia; Mytilida; Mytilidae
Source: RNAcentral